CGGGGGGCUGCAGUGAGGAAUCUUGCGCAAUGGGGGCAACCCUGACGCAGCAACGCCGCGUGAGUGAUGAAGGCCUUCGGGUCGUAAAGCUCUGUCAGAUGGGAAGAAAAUUUUUGCGAUAAAUAAUCGCAGGGAUUGACGGUACCGUUAAAGGAAGCACCGGCUAACUCCGUGCCAGCAGCCGCGGUAAUACGGAGGGUGCAAGCGUUGUUCGGAAUUAUUGGGCGUAAAGAGCGUGUAGGCGGCCUUGUAAGUCAGAUGUGAAAUCCCUUGGCUUAACCAAGGAAGGGCAUUUGAAACUGCUUGGCUUGAGUACGGGAGGGGGAAGUGGAAUUCCCGGUGUAGAGGUGAAAUUCGUAGAUAUCGGGAGGAACACCAGUGGCGAAGGCGGCUUCCUGGACCGAUACUGACGCUGAGACGCGAAAGCGUGGGGAGCAAACAGGAUUAGAUACCCCUGUAGUC
RNAcentral lists this ribosomal RNA (462 nucleotides) under uncultured Syntrophaceae bacterium. RNAcentral describes it as "bacterial SSU rRNA". It matches the Rfam family "Bacterial small subunit ribosomal RNA", at positions 342 to 795 of the family's 1533-position model. Lineage: Bacteria; Pseudomonadati; Thermodesulfobacteriota; Syntrophia; Syntrophales; Syntrophaceae. The record is from RNAcentral.